CCCUUAGAUGUCCUGGGCAGCACGCGUGCUACAAUGAUGCAUUCAACGAGUCUUGCCUUAACCGAAAGGUUCGGGUAAACUUUUGAAAUUGCAUCUUGUCGGGGCUUGAUCAUUGUAAUUUUUGAUCACAAACAAGGAAUUCCUUGUAAAUGUGAGUCAUCAACUUGCAUUGAAUACGUCCCUGCCCUUUGUACACACCGCCCGUCGCUCCUACCGAUUUUGAGUGGUCCGGUGAACCUUCUGGAUUGUGCGGCUUGCCGCGCGAGAAGUUAUGUAAACCUUAUCACUUAGAGGAAGGAGAAGUCGUAACA
RNAcentral lists this ribosomal RNA (311 nucleotides) under uncultured eukaryote. Its description in RNAcentral is "partial 18S ribosomal RNA". It matches the Rfam family "Eukaryotic small subunit ribosomal RNA", at positions 1470 to 1796 of the family's 1831-position model. The record is from RNAcentral.